GCUGGCGGUGCGCCUUAUGCAUGCAAGUCGAGCGAAGCUUUUCAGUAGUUUACUACAGAAAAUGACUGAGCGGCGAACGGGUGAGUAACGCGUGAGCAAUCUACCUUAGUUACAGGGAUAGCCCGAGGAAACUCGGAUUAAUACCUGAUAUUCUUUACAUUUCGCAUGAAAUUAAAAGGAAAGGUCAGCCGAACUAAGAUGAGCUCGCGUUCUAUCAGCUAGUUGGUGAGGUAAUAGCUCACCAAGGCAACGACGGAUAGCUGGUCUGAGAGGACGAUCAGCCACACUGGGACUGAGACACGGCCCAGACUCCUACGGGAGGCUGCAGCAGGGAAUAUUGUGCAAUGAACGAAAGUUUGACACAGCGACACCGCGUGUGGGAUGACGGAUCUAGGUUUGUAAACCACUUUCAGGAGGGAAGAAAAUGACGGUACCUCCACAAGAAGCCCCGGCCAACUACGUGCCAGCAGCCGCGGUAAUACGUAGGGGGCGAGCGUUGUCCGGAUUUAUUGGGCGUAAAGAGCUCGUAGGCGGUUCAACAAGUCGGUCGUAAAGGUUCAGGGCUCAACCCUGAAAUGUCGAUCGAUACUGUUGUGACUAGGAUAC
RNAcentral lists this ribosomal RNA (606 nucleotides) under uncultured bacterium. Its description in RNAcentral is "bacterial SSU rRNA". It matches the Rfam family "Bacterial small subunit ribosomal RNA", at positions 35 to 649 of the family's 1533-position model. The record is from RNAcentral.